Molecule: transfer RNA, 86 nt
Filed under: Lactobacillus nasalidis
Lineage: Bacteria; Bacillati; Bacillota; Bacilli; Lactobacillales; Lactobacillaceae
Description: tRNA-Tyr
Source: RNAcentral
AUGAUGGUGUGGUAGUGGAUGUCGCCGUUGUUGUAGGCAACGGUUGCUUCUUCCGGAGUGGCAAAGAUCAUGCCUUCGCCUUCACG